Molecule: long non-coding RNA, 467 nt
Filed under: Brassica napus (rape)
Lineage: Eukaryota; Viridiplantae; Streptophyta; Magnoliopsida; Brassicales; Brassicaceae
Description: long non-coding RNA (BNAP_LNC005532)
Source: RNAcentral
CCUCAGCGAGUGACUGAUUGACUCUAUCUAUUUCUCAAAACAUUCUCUCUUGUAUAUGCAGCCAACAAACCAUCAAUGGUUUCGUAUAUGUGCAUGAAGGUUUUAUAAUUGAUGUACAAUGUGCUUCGAUUCUUGAGGGAUAUAUCCAGGAAAGUCAUCCUCAUGAGUCACUAUAUUUUAAACUGUCCAACAACUUGCUCAAGCUGCGAGCAAAAGAGAUCAAUUAUGCUUCAGUGUACUGGCGAAUGUGAAGACUUCUUGUUAUGCUUCGGCUCUGCUACUCUGCUCAAAUUGGUAAGGCACAUACAGGCACAGUCCGUAACGUUGGAGUCCCUAAAGAAAAAAUGAAGUUUAAUGCCCUCAUCAACAUUCGAAGCUGGCACAUGCGAGACAUAAGUAGUAGAAUUAAGCACUGCAAUAAAAUCUUCUUUUCAAAACUGAUGCCCUCUAAACCUUUAAUAUAUUUG